RNAcentral lists this long non-coding RNA (1045 nucleotides) under Megachile rotundata (alfalfa leafcutting bee). RNAcentral's name for it is "uncharacterized LOC105664389, transcript variant X3". The record is from RNAcentral. Lineage: Eukaryota; Metazoa; Arthropoda; Insecta; Hymenoptera; Megachilidae.
CGAUGUAAACAGAAAAACUCAAUGAGACACUUUUAAAAAUGUUGCGAUUCUUUUAGAAGUAAUGAAACAGUAUAACAGACAAGUACAAGUGCAAGAGUACUUUUCAAAAGCGAUUUCGAAGAAUGAAACUCAAGUGUUUAGAAUUGAAUGAGUAUUGAAUACUCAUAUCUUGUCUGAACGGAUAUCCGAGUACUGGAGUAUGGAUGCACAUAAAUUCAAACAAUAGCAAACUAUCGUAUUCCUUGUCAAAAAUAAUAUUUCGUGGAACGUCGCUGAAAACGACGAGUCAAGGACCGAAUAUCCGGGUCGAAGAAAUGCGUAGGGAGAGAUGCAGCGGAAGUUUCUAUCAGGAGUACUUCCUGAUUACGCCUGGCAUAAAACCGAGAGGCAGAUAAGAUUACACUUCAGGAUUUCUGUUAGCUUUUCUCAAGAGGAAAUAUGUAAUAGGGUUUCCUAAAUUUUUAUACAGAGAUACAUUGUUGAAUUUUUUGCUUGUAAUGCAUUAGUUUACAAGGCCCCACAUUUCUGAUAUUUCAAAAAUUCCAAAAUCGGCCCACGACCCAUCACAAUUUGCCUGGACCCAUACUUCUAGAGGAACACCACAAUCUGGCAAAAGAUUCCUUUCACUUUACUCUCGAAUUCGAUCGGAACGAGGAGAAGGUUCGACGGACGUAGAUGGAGUUUCUAUAGCUACUUUAUUUAGAAAUUUGAAGAUGACACGAUAGCGAAGACUAACCCAAACUCAUACUUGUGACGAAAUCGGGUCAAUGUCGGCUCAAGGCUAAUGACUUGUUCAUGUCCUAGAUAGGUAAUGUAUGUACACACAAAGGAUUUUAGGCGUAUAGUUGAGAAACAUUGACGAGAAUUGAAUGAACAUCACCUUUUAAACAUUGUUAAAUGAAGAAUAGAAUUUUAGCAAUUUAAUAGUUGAAUUCGUACAAGAGAUUCAUGCAGAAUACAUGCAUAAAAGUGUAAUUAAAAAAGUAGGGGUCGUAAAAUUUUUCGUUUCGCGUUAUUUACCUUACCUGUCCAUUUCAAUGCUGUA